ACAUGCACCAACCGCCACGAUAGCAGGGUGAACGCCGCGAGCACGCAGCCGCCGGCCAGCAACGCGCGGAAUCGCAGCGUGCGGUCGCCCGGCUCAAGCCGGCGGCAGGCGGAGGCACCGUUCAUCGACGUUCGGCAUCCGGGGUUUCCACGGCAUACCUGAUGGCCCCCGACGGAAUAUGGGUCAGUCCGAGGGCCAUGCUCUCGACACGAGCCCGCAGGUUUUCUUCGUUGGUCAGGUCGCUCAUCCGGAGUUCGAGGGCGUGUAUUUGGCGGCGGAUGCGCCCGGUCUCCCGCUGGACUUCGAGAAUCUGCAGCGCGCGCUUGUCCCGCUUCCAACCGAGCCACGCAUAAGCGAUUCCGAUGCCGGCCAGAAUAGCGGCGGCAAUGACGGCGUUGAUCAUCCAGCCAGGCCGGAGUGAAUUUCUACAUGUAUUUUCCGGACGGCGGGCCAUCUCAGUAAUAGCUGUUUUCAGAUUCGUUCGGCGACGCGUAAUUUGGCGCUGCGGGCCCGCGGGUUGGCCUCCACUUCCUCUUCAGAGGGAGUGAUCGCUUUGCGGACCGGGAGCGAAUAAUAACAUUCAGGAUUGGGGCGCGGGGCGGGCCAUUCCGGACGGUCGAUUUGCGGUGCGCUGUGAUUCCGGAUAUAAUUCUUUACGAUGCGGUCUUCGAGGGAAUGAAACGUGAUGACCGCCAGCCGGCCGCCCGGCCGCAGCCAGUGGUGAGCGCCGGCCAGCGCGCGCUGAAGACACCCCAACUCGUCAUUCACAGCGAUGCGCAGCGCCUGAAAGAUGCGCGUCGCCGGGUGCAGCCCGCUGGUUUUCGGAAUCACCGUCGCGAUGACGUCCGCCAGAUCGGUAGUCGUGCGCAGCGCGUGCCGCCGCCGGUGUUUGGCAAUCGCACGGGCCGCUUUUCGCGCGUGCCGCUCCCCGCCAUAGUCAUAAAAUGUGUUGGCGAGCGUGUCUUCCGGCCAUGUGUUGACGAUUUCGGCGGCGGUGAGCGGCGCUUCGCAGUCCAUGCGCAUAUCGAGCGGCCCCGCAAAGCGAAAGGAGAAUCCCCGGUCCGGCGAAUCGAUCUGCCAGCUGCUGAUUCCCAAAUCGAGAAGAAUGCCGUCCACUCCCGUGAGACCGCAGGUUUCAAGGAUUUCCGGAAAGUGAUCGAAUGACGUGUGCAGGGCCACGAAUUGCUGCUCCCAGCCGGACUCCAGUUCAUGCGCCAUGGCAAUCGCAUCGGCAUCGCGGUCAAGGGCCAGUACGCUGGCUCCGUGCUUCAAUAGCUCCCGCGAAUGUCCUCCACCGC
This 1298-nucleotide unclassified non-coding RNA is filed under the name uncultured fungus. RNAcentral describes it as "sequence contains 18S rRNA gene, ITS1, 5.8S rRNA gene, ITS2, 28S rRNA gene". The record is from RNAcentral. Lineage: Eukaryota; Fungi.